CCCAGAAUUCAUAUCCAUCCAGAACCUGAGGGUGUGACCUUAUUUGGAAACAGGGUCUUUGCAGAUGUAAUUAAGAUGACAUCAUAAUGUGUUAGUGUGAGCCCUAAAUCCAAUGCCUGGUAUCCUGGAGAUUCAGACACACACACAGACAGGGAAAAAGGCCACGUGGGGAUGGCUGCAGAGAGUGAAGUGAUAUGUCUACAAGCCAAGGAACGCCAAAGACUACUAGCAACCACCACAAGCUAGGAAGAGGCAAAGGAUUCUCCUGUAAAGCCUUCAAAGGGAGCACGGCCCUGCGGCCACCUUAAUCCAGAAUUCCAGCCUCCAGAACUCCUCAGUUUACUCAGCUAUGAAACAGAAGUUCCACUAAGAGUCAUGGAGAUGCUCACUCUCACCCUCUACUCAUGCCUCCUCAGGAACAAGGAACACCGAUGAGUAAGACCUAAAGAGACAAAAUUCAUGCUCAGGCCCAGAAGAAAAGAAGAACAGACCGGAAAGCUCAAGCCACCCUCAGGAAGAGGUAUAAGGAACAUCUGAAAGUCACAGGGGCCCCAGCCUAGCCAACUAAAAGAAGGAAGACAGGUUGGGCCCUGGAGAACAGCCAAUCCUCCUUGUUGCAUGGGAAAGUGAAGUCUGGGAAGGCAGAAGCCCAGGGCCUGAGAAACCAGCAUCUGGCAGCAGGGGAAAUGACAAGAAGCUCAUGCCCCCAGAAGCCAGCAGCUAUCAAGACAAGGGCUUUCCUUUCUCUUGCUGCCCAGCUAUGCAUGGAAAUAACAUACAAUUUCAUGAUGUCUGUGAAUCACAGAGAUCUAGACUGUAUGCUCAACUGGAGUAUUCUGGAUUUCAGCAAUGACCAAAUAAAGAUAAACAAAUACCUGUCCUA
Long non-coding RNA from Gorilla gorilla gorilla (western lowland gorilla), 883 nucleotides. RefSeq lists it as uncharacterized. Lineage: Eukaryota; Metazoa; Chordata; Mammalia; Primates; Hominidae. The record is from RefSeq and is a predicted model, not a curated record. The transcript is spliced from 4 exons.